Molecule: ribosomal RNA, 397 nt
Filed under: uncultured soil bacterium
Lineage: Bacteria
Description: bacterial SSU rRNA
Rfam family: Bacterial small subunit ribosomal RNA
Source: RNAcentral
AGAGUGAACGCUGGCGGUAGGCCUAACACAUGCAAGUCGAACGGCAGCACAGUAGGAGCUUGCUCUUACGGGUGGCGAGUGGCGGACGGGUGAGGAAUACAUCGGAAUCUACCUUUUGGUGGGGGAUAACGUAGGGAAACUUACGCUAAUACCGCAUACGCCCUUCGGGGGAAAGCCGGGGACCAGCAAUGGCCUGGCGCUGAUAGAUGAGCCGAUGUCGGAUUAGCUAGUUGGUGAGGUAAUGGCUCACCAAGGCGACGAUCCGUAGCUGGUCUGAGAGGAUGAUCAGCCACACUGGAACUGAGACACGGUCCAGACUCCUACGGGAGCAGCAGUGGGGAAUAGUUGGACAAGUGGGCGACAAGGCCUGAUCCGAGCCAUACCGGCGUGGGUAGAA